Molecule: ribosomal RNA, 292 nt
Filed under: uncultured eukaryote
Lineage: Eukaryota
Description: partial 18S ribosomal RNA
Rfam family: Eukaryotic small subunit ribosomal RNA
Source: RNAcentral
GGUUGAUCCUGCCAGUAGUCAUAUGCUUGUCUCAAAGAUUAAGCCAUGCAUGUCUAAGUAUAAACAAUUGUAUACAGUGAAACUGCGAAUGGCUCAUUAAAUCAGUUAUAGUUUAUUUGAUAAUACCUUACUACUUGGAUAUCCGUGGUAAUUCUAGAGCUAAUACAUGCACUAAAAACCUGUACCUUCCGGUCAGGUUGUAUUUAUUAGAUAAAAAACCAACGCCAGCAAUGGCUUUAUUGGUGAUUCAUAAUAACUUUUCGAAUCGUAUGACCUUGCGUCGACGAUGGAU